RNAcentral lists this ribosomal RNA (929 nucleotides) under Salmonella enterica subsp. enterica serovar Bovismorbificans. RNAcentral describes it as "partial 23S ribosomal RNA". It matches the Rfam family "Bacterial large subunit ribosomal RNA", at positions 1230 to 2141 of the family's 2925-position model. The record is from RNAcentral. Lineage: Bacteria; Pseudomonadati; Pseudomonadota; Gammaproteobacteria; Enterobacterales; Enterobacteriaceae.
AGGGGAGCGUUCUGUAAGCCUGUGAAGGUGGCCUGUGAGGGUUGCUGGAGGUAUCAGAAGUGCGAAUGCUGACAUAAGUAACGAUAAAGCGGGUGAAAAGCCCGCUCGCCGGAAGACCAAGGGUUCCUGUCCAACGUUAAUCGGGGCAGGGUGAGUCGACCCCUAAGGCGAGGCCGAAAGGCGUAGUCGAUGGGAAACGGGUUAAUAUUCCCGUACUUGGUGUUACUGCGAAGGGGGGACGGAGAAGGCUAUGUUGGCCGGGCGACGGUUGUCCCGGUUUAAGCGUGUAGGUGUGUGUUCCAGGUAAAUCCGGUUCACUUUAACACUGAGGCGUGAUGACGAGGCACUACGGUGCUGAAGCAACAAAUGCCCUGCUUCCAGGAAAAGCCUCUAAGCAUCAGGUAACACGAAAUCGUACCCCAAACCGACACAGGUGGUCAGGUAGAGAAUACCAAGGCGCUUGAGAGAACUCGGGUGAAGGAACUAGGCAAAAUGGUGCCGUAACUUCGGGAGAAGGCACGCUGACAUGUAGGUGAAGUGAUUUACUCAUGGAGCUGAAGUCAGUCGAAGAUACCAGCUGGCUGCAACUGUUUAUUAAAAACACAGCACUGUGCAAACACGAAAGUGGACGUAUACGGUGUGACGCCUGCCCGGUGCCGGAAGGUUAAUUGAUGGGGUCAGCGCAAGCGAAGCUCCUGAUCGAAGCCCCGGUAAACGGCGGCCGUAACUAUAACGGUCCUAAGGUAGCGAAAUUCCUUGUCGGGUAAGUUCCGACCUGCACGAAUGGCGUAAUGAUGGCCAGGCUGUCUCCACCCGAGACUCAGUGAAAUUGAACUCGCUGUGAAGAUGCAGUGUACCCGCGGCAAGACGGAAAGACCCCGUGAACCUUUACUAUAGCUUGACACUGAACAUUGAGCCUUGAUGUGUAG